GCACUGUCGAGGAGUCCCAAAAUAGGACGAAACGGCCGUUCAGUGC
Molecule: non-coding RNA, 46 nt
Filed under: Schistosoma mattheei
Lineage: Eukaryota; Metazoa; Platyhelminthes; Trematoda; Strigeidida; Schistosomatidae
Source: RNAcentral